GAACCGUUAUAACCGGCGAUACCCGAAUGGGGAAACCCAGUGUGAUUCGUCACACUAUCAUUAACUGAAUCCAUAGGUUAAUGAGGCGAACCGGGGGAACUGAAACAUCUAAGUACCCCGAGGAAAAGAAAUCAACCGAGAUUCCCCCAGUAGCGGCGAGCGAACGGGGAGGAGCCCAGAGCCUGAAUCAGCAUGUGUGUUAGUGGAAGCGUCUGGAAAGGCGCGCGAUACAGGGUGACAGCCCCGUACACAAAAGCGCAUGUGCUGUGAGCUCGAUGAGUAGGGCGGGACACGUGGUAUCCUGUCUGAAUAUGGGGGGACCAUCCUCCAAGGCUAAAUACUCCUGACUGACCGAUAGUGAACCAGUACCGUGAGGGAAAGGCGAAAAGAACCCCGGCGAGGGGAGUGAAAAAGAACCUGAAACCGUGUACGUACAAGCAGUGGGAGCACCCUUCGGGGUGUGACUGCGUACCUUUUGUAUAAUGGGUCAGCGACUUAUAU
Molecule: ribosomal RNA, 501 nt
Filed under: Salmonella enterica subsp. enterica serovar Typhimurium
Lineage: Bacteria; Pseudomonadati; Pseudomonadota; Gammaproteobacteria; Enterobacterales; Enterobacteriaceae
Description: partial 23S ribosomal RNA
Rfam family: Bacterial large subunit ribosomal RNA
Source: RNAcentral